GUAUGAAGAAGGCCUUCGGGUUGUAAAGUACUUUCAGCGGGGAGGAAGGGAGUAAAGUUAAUACCUUUGCUCAUUGACGUUACCCGCAGAAGAAGCACCGGCUAACUCCGUGCCAGCAGCCGCGGUAAUACGGAGGGUGCAAGCGUUAAUCGGAAUUACUGGGCGUAAAGCGCACGCAGGCGGUUUGUUAAGUCAGAUGUGAAAUCCCCGGGCUCAACCUGGGAACUGCAUCUGAUACUGGCAAGCUUGAGUCUCGUAGAGGGGGGUAGAAUUCCAGGUGUAGCGGUGAAAUGCGUAGAGAUCUGGAGGAAUACCGGUGGCGAAGGCGGCCCCCUGGACGAAGACUGACGCUCAGGUGCGAAAGCGUGGGGAGCAAACAGGAUUAGAUACC
This 391-nucleotide ribosomal RNA is filed under the name Enterobacteriaceae bacterium. RNAcentral's name for it is "bacterial SSU rRNA". It matches the Rfam family "Bacterial small subunit ribosomal RNA", at positions 401 to 786 of the family's 1533-position model. Lineage: Bacteria; Pseudomonadati; Pseudomonadota; Gammaproteobacteria; Enterobacterales; Enterobacteriaceae. The record is from RNAcentral.